RNAcentral lists this unclassified non-coding RNA (412 nucleotides) under Hevea brasiliensis (rubber tree). The record is from RNAcentral. Lineage: Eukaryota; Viridiplantae; Streptophyta; Magnoliopsida; Malpighiales; Euphorbiaceae.
CACAAUGAAACAGUUAUCAGUAGAAGUAAAUUGCAUUCAUCAACCUCAGAUAAAAAAUCCCUACUAUGUUAAUUCUAUGCCUUUAUAUUAUUUGAUUAUUGUUGCAUCACGUGGCAAGUUCAACCAGGAAAGCAACUAUGUGUCUCUGUUGUUGGAAUUCUUAUACACUUCUAGUGGGACUUCAUAAGUCAGAUGCAAGAGCGACAACUAAUGAGUAAUGACCAAAUAGAGCCCAACAAAUAUUAUAUCUCCACAGAAGGAAAAUUCUUGUCACUUGUGGCUGUGCGACAUCAAGAAAAAUUACCUAAACACCACUGGGAGAAUCUUCAGUAAAGUUGCUCAACUAAUUCAAAGUUCAAACUUCCUUCUAGUAACUUCAUCAUCUUUUGGCAGUAACACCCCACCCCAUUGG